This 481-nucleotide ribosomal RNA is filed under the name uncultured bacterium. Its description in RNAcentral is "partial 16S ribosomal RNA". It matches the Rfam family "Bacterial small subunit ribosomal RNA", at positions 28 to 507 of the family's 1533-position model. The record is from RNAcentral.
GAUGAACGCUGGCGGCGUGCUUAACACAUGCAAGUCGAACGAAGCAUUUAGGACAGAUUACUUCGGUUUGAAGUUCUUUAUGACUGAGUGGCGGACGGGUGAGUAACGCGUGGGUAACCUGCCUUGUACUGGGGGAUAGCAGCUGGAAACGGCUGGUAAUACCGCAUAAGCGCACAAUGUUGCAUGACAUGGUGUGAAAAACUCCGGUGGUAUAAGAUGGACCCGCGUCUGAUUAGCUAGUUGGUGAGAUAACAGCCCACCAAGGUGACGAUCAGUAGCCGACCUGAGAGGGUGACCGGCCACAUUGGGACUGAGACACGGCCCAGACUCCUACGGGAGGCAGCAGUGGGGAAUAUUGCACAAUGGAGGAAACUCUGAUGCAGCGACGCCGCGUGAGUGAAGAAGUAAUUCGUUAUGUAAAGCUCUAUCAGCAGGGAAGAUAGUGACGGUACCUGACUAAGAAGCUCCGGCUAAAUACGUG